ACGCAAGUUGCGCCCAAAGCCUUUUGGCUGAGGGCACGUCUGCCUGGGCGUCA
This 53-nucleotide ribosomal RNA is filed under the name Tussilago farfara (coltsfoot). RNAcentral's name for it is "partial 5.8S ribosomal RNA". Lineage: Eukaryota; Viridiplantae; Streptophyta; Magnoliopsida; Asterales; Asteraceae. The record is from RNAcentral.